This is a small nucleolar RNA of Colius striatus (speckled mousebird), 138 nucleotides long. Lineage: Eukaryota; Metazoa; Chordata; Aves; Coliiformes; Coliidae. The record is from RefSeq and is a predicted model, not a curated record.
UUGCAAACUUGAUCACUAGCUCUUCAUGAUGUUGCAGAAAUCAAGGGAACAGAUUUUGCUAAAGUAAGCAUGGUCAUAGAACUAUAUCAGCCCUAGAAAUCAAAUGAUUGGGGCUGUUGAUUCUAUACCAUGAUAAGG